GCCAUGACUAAGCAGGACCAG
Molecule: microRNA, 21 nt
Filed under: Selaginella moellendorffii
Lineage: Eukaryota; Viridiplantae; Streptophyta; Lycopodiopsida; Selaginellales; Selaginellaceae
Description: smo-miR1111
Source: miRBase by way of RNAcentral